This 253-nucleotide ribosomal RNA is filed under the name uncultured bacterium. Its description in RNAcentral is "partial 16S ribosomal RNA". It matches the Rfam family "Bacterial small subunit ribosomal RNA", at positions 524 to 776 of the family's 1533-position model. The record is from RNAcentral.
UACGAAGGGGGCAAGCGUUGUCCGGAUUUACUGGGCGUAAAGGGCGUGCAGGCGGUUUGUUAAGUGCAGGGUGAAAGCUCCCGGCUCAACUGGGAGAGGUCCUUGCAUACUGGCGAACUCGAGGGAGGCAGAGGAAAGUGGAAUUCCCGGUGUAGUGGUGAUAUGCGUAGAUAUCGGGAGGAACACCUGUGGCGAAGGCGGCUUUCUGGGCCUUACCUGACGCUGAGACGCGAAAGCGUGGGGAGCGAACCGG